This 481-nucleotide ribosomal RNA is filed under the name uncultured bacterium. RNAcentral's name for it is "partial 16S ribosomal RNA". It matches the Rfam family "Bacterial small subunit ribosomal RNA", at positions 28 to 507 of the family's 1533-position model. The record is from RNAcentral.
GAUGAACGCUGGCGGCGUGCCUAACACAUGCAAGUCGAACGGAGAUUACGGACGGAAGUUUUCGGAUGGAAGCCUGUAAUUCUUAGUGGCGGACGGGUGAGUAACGCGUGGGCAACCUGCCCUAUACAGGGGGAUAGCAGCUGGAAACGGCUGGUAAGACCGCAUAAGUCGGUUAAAUCGCAUGAUUUGAUCGGGAAAUGAGCAAUCAGGUAUAGGAUGGGCCCGCAUCCGAUUAGCCAGUUGGCAGGGUAAAAGCCUACCAAAGCGACGAUCGGUAGCCGGACUGAGAGGUGGGACGGCCACAGUGGGACUGAGACACGGCCCAAACUCCUACGGGAGGCAGCAGUGGGGGAUAGUGCACAAUGGAGGAAACGCUGAUGCAGCGACGCCGGGUGAGUGAAGAAGUAUUUCGGUAUGUAAAGCGCGAUCAGCAGGGAAGAUGAUGACGGUACCUGACGAAGAAGCCCCGGCUAACUACGUG